Long non-coding RNA from Chinchilla lanigera (long-tailed chinchilla), 712 nucleotides. RefSeq lists it as uncharacterized. NCBI's taxonomy places the organism in Eukaryota, Metazoa, Chordata, Mammalia, Rodentia, Chinchillidae. The transcript is spliced from 3 exons. The record is from RefSeq and is a predicted model, not a curated record.
CUGCCUGGAAAACGGGAAAGGAGACGCCCGCUUUGCGCCCAAGUCAUGAGGGGAAAGGUGUCGCCGUGCCCCUGAGUCACAGCCAGAGCCGGGGACCCUGCCAUGUGGCACAGGAGGGGAGAAAGCUGGCGGGGACCAAACCCGGUGGAAGCAGGAGAAACAAGCAAGCAGCGCGGAGUAAAAUUAGGAAGAAAAAAAUAUUUGGAUGAGCACAUUUGUUCGCAAAAUACUGAAUUUGCCCCUUGCAAUCAAGAACAAGGCAAGGACACCACCUAUCACUACUGCCUCUGUCCUUACACAGUACUGGACUGGAGGGCCCAGCCAGCCAGCGCAAUAAGGCAAGAAAAAUAAAAGAAAGGUUGUGGUGGAUUGAUUCAGUGAAAACAUAACAAUGAAAACGAAUGAACUACUGCUACACAAAACUGCAUAGAAGAACCUUAAAACAAUAUCGGGCCAAAUAAUACAGACCCAAAAAAGUAACACAGUAUUUAAUUCCAUUUAUAAAAGUGCAAAGAGAUGCGACUGAAUUACACCGGAGAUGCAGAGUGCAGCUGCAAAGUCAUCUAUCAGGGAGAGAGAAUGGGGGCGGGGCUCUUCCAGGAGAAGACCCGAGGACGCUUCCGGGAAAUGACCACUUUCAACUUCUAAACCUGGCUGGGUGUUGCAUGGGUGCCAGAGUUAUAAUAACUUAUUAAAUUGUACAUUUAUGUUU